GUCAUGGGGAAAGCAAAAGAAUUGUCAAAGGAUCUGUGGAAAAAGUGUUUCCUGGCUCCUGUGUUACUGGGUCAUUGGACUGGUAUAGACCUCCGACCUGAAAUGCCUCCCUGCAGCUCUCGCUCCCUCUCUCCAGGCAGAGUGGAGACCCCUAGGGGUACCGUUUGGUGUGCGCUGGGAACAUCCGCCAUCUCAGACCUGAUGGCCUAAGGCCCCCAGUCUGCCGUGAUGCCAAGUACCAAAUAGUGACUCCAGAAUGGUUGCCAUUUGUCAUAUAUGCUGCCUGGGACCUGCCUAAAACAGUGGAAACACAGAGAGCAGGAACAAUGAAACUUCCUCCCUCGUCUAUUGCCACAGACAUUGAUCUUCACUGCAACAAUUUAUUAUAUCACAUCUGCUAUGGCUAUUACAGCAUGCUAUUUGAUGCGUUUACUAAAAAUAUAGCAACAUCAGAGGCAACAGAAAGCCACAUUUUAUGUACUGUAUUAACAUGUUUAUCUAUAAAUACCUCUAAGGCUGUGCAGCAACAGAACAUCUCACAACCAUUGAACUUAACUCAAUCUACAUUUUCAGGAAGCAUUGAUCUAUGCUGUUAUCCUUUUGAAUAAUCCAUUCUUAUUUGACGCUAUUGAUAGAUGGCAGCAUGUGUGCUGGGAGAAAAGAAUGAGAAUGAGAAUAUGACAAAGUUGCAUAAGAAGAUUUUGGCCCCUUUGGUAGC
Molecule: long non-coding RNA, 718 nt
Organism: Gasterosteus aculeatus aculeatus (three-spined stickleback)
Lineage: Eukaryota; Metazoa; Chordata; Actinopteri; Perciformes; Gasterosteidae
Source: Ensembl